Molecule: long non-coding RNA, 806 nt
Organism: Cervus elaphus (red deer)
Lineage: Eukaryota; Metazoa; Chordata; Mammalia; Artiodactyla; Cervidae
Exons: 2
Source: RefSeq, a predicted model, not a curated record
CUUACCAUGGAACAUGGUCUGCGGGAGGCGGGCUUGGUCAUGAUGACCGCAACUGCAGCAGGAGCACGCUCUCACCGCCCAUAGUCACUCCCAGGACCCUGGUCUUCCGCGGAGUUACCGGGAGUCCGCGCCGGGUUCGAUCUCCAAGUUAAUCACUGGGGCGCCUUCACAGCACCCCCCGCCUCCCUUCUCCUGGUCACCUGCGUCCUCCCCGAGCGCUUCCCGUGCGCCUGGACCAGAGGAGCGCGCGGAUUCCCAAAGCACCGCAGGAGCAAUGACUUGGUCUUCUGAUUCCGGGCGAUUUGAGGCAAAAGACUUCCCAGAUGACCUCUAGCCGCCUUGGCAAAGUUAGGCGACUAGGAUCUAAAAGCAUCGGUUGCUAAUGAGUCCACAGAAGCCGCAAAUGUGUGGGGCGAGAGCUGGGUUAUUAGCGGGAGCCAGCGAGGAGGCGUAGCAGCUCUUGCCGCAGAUGUGGUGGUGGACGAUGCCAAGCCCUCUUGCUUAAAAAAAAAAAAAAAAAGGAAGUAAAGAAUGAUGAAUGAUUAAGAGGGCCAUGGGCCACUCCCUCGGCCUCUCUAACCUCUCUUGGUCUCUUUCCUCUCUGUCUUUUGUACAUGCACCUGCCCAGGUGGGAUCUCAAAGGAAAAUAAAACGGUGGGUCAGUCUCCUCUGGUGAGAGCUAUCUUUGGACCUAGAAAUUAAAGCCCAAAUUAGGCAGAGAAAGUGGAGACUGAUAAUAGCUCCUAAUAAUGUCUCCCACUUGUGCUACCACUAAAUUGGUUAAUAAAUCAAAUUAUCCAUCUUGA